RNAcentral lists this ribosomal RNA (473 nucleotides) under uncultured bacterium. Its description in RNAcentral is "bacterial SSU rRNA". It matches the Rfam family "Bacterial small subunit ribosomal RNA", at positions 328 to 793 of the family's 1533-position model. The record is from RNAcentral.
CAUCGAGACUCCUACGGGAGGCAGCAGUGGGGAAUAUUGCACAAUGGGGGAAACCCUGAUGCAGCCAUGCCGCGUGUGUGAAGAAGGCCUUCGGGUUGUAAAGCACUUUCAGUAGGGAGGAAGGUAGUGUAGUUAACACCUGCACUAUUUGACGUUACCUACAGAAGAAGCACCGGCUAACUCCGUGCCAGCAGCCGCGGUAAUACGGAGGGUGCGAGCGUUAAUCGGAAUUACUGGGCGUAAAGCGCAUGCAGGCGGCCUGUUAAGUCAGAUGUGAAAGCCCCGGGGCUUAACCUCGGAAUUGCAUUUGAAACUGGCAGGCUAGAGUCUUGUAGAGGGGGUAGAAUUUCAGGUGUAGCGGUGAAAUGCGUAGAGAUCUGAAGGAAUACCAGUGGCGAAGGCGGCCCCCUGGACAAAGACUGACGCUCAGAUGCGAAAGCGUGGGGAGCAAACAGGAUUAGAUACCCUGGUAG